Molecule: long non-coding RNA, 2078 nt
Filed under: Mytilus galloprovincialis (Mediterranean mussel)
Lineage: Eukaryota; Metazoa; Mollusca; Bivalvia; Mytilida; Mytilidae
Source: RNAcentral
GUUGAUUAUAAUAGUGACUAAGGUUGUAAUAUGGUCUAUGAACUUUGUCAGUAUUGCUGGUGUUAUAUUGUGUGUGUGUGGAGAAAAGGGGGUGGGUCCUGUGUUGAAUUUUUUGUUUUACAUUUUACUAAAAUUUCUUUUGCAACUAAAUAUAAAGGUUAAUGAAUUGAAAGAAUGUUACGCAUCCUCCAAUUAGUUUCUAUGGGAUAUGAAUUGGUAACAUUUGCAUUCAGUUGCGUAAUGUUGUUCAGUCUUUCGCUUUCUAUGUUGUGCUUUGUAUAUUGAUGUUUGUGUUCUUUGUUUUUACUUUCUUUUUCUUGACAUGGCUUUGUCAGUUAGUUUUCAAAUUAUGUGUUUGAAUGUCCCUUUGGUAUAUUUCGCCUCCCUUUAAUUGCGAUGACAUCUUAAAAACGGGAAUUAAAAGAAAAUCCAAUUGACAAUCGGAGACAAACUGGUAACAAGCCCGAUUUUUUUUUCUCUCGAAAAUUGUGUAUUAAAUAUUUUUCAUAAAGUAUAAAGAGAGCGAAAAAUAAAUAUUUUAUAUAAAAAAAAUUGCAAACCCAUGAGGGCCAUAUUAAUUUUAUCAAAACAUUUAUCAAAACAAUCAAAGGUUUAUUAAGUUAUGUGCAUAAUCCGUUACAACUGUAGUGUAAAGCAAUGUUUCUUUCGGAGAAUUGGUCAUAAGACUCGUUGUUUAUUUCAAAAUAAAAAAUUAUAACAAAACUUUUUCAGCGAAACAAGAAAUUUUAGAAUGAAUUUAUAUAAGUAUAAACCUAAACAGAAAUUUUUCCAUGUUUUUUUUUUGUAUUUUCAGUCUUUGCUUUAUCAGUAUUUAUGAUAAAAAUCAACAGUACAAAUUUUGCUGCAUCAGAUGCAAAUUUUGACAAUUAAUGUCUAUUGAAGGAUGCUUAAGACCAAAUAACUUGAACACUUCAAGCAUAAUACAAAUGUUAAAGAGCUGAUAUAAUAAAAUUGGACCUAUUACAUAGCAAAAUCCGGGCAAGGAAUAAGACCUUUCCAUGAGGGAGAUAUAUUAAAUAAUUUGAUACGAUUUCCAAAAUUGUAUUAUAGAGCAGAAGUACAGAUGUACAGGUUACUGUUUUGUUGAUACUCUCUGAGACUAACAGCCCAUCAGCAGAGGCAUCAAUAAAAAAAUUAGUGAUUUUUAGCCAUGGCGUUGUCGGUUUAUAUUCGAUUUAUGAGUUUGAAUGUCCCUUCGGUAUCCUCUUUGAGAACAUUAUUUGCAUGCUCAUGCAAGUACGCUGAAGGUGGAUGUUUAUUAUCAACAAAUCGAGAACAAAUCAGUUGUCAGUACUUCAGUGUUGAUAUGGCGUAUCUUUUUAAAAAAAAUAAAUUCACUUAAACACAAAGGAUCGUCUUCACCCGGGCAAAGAUGUCAACCGUUGUUCCCAAGUUCUUACUGCUCUUCAACUUGAUUCGGCUUUCCAACUUUUUUUAUUGGAAAUGCCACUGUUGAGUAUGUAGCUAUUUGCAUAGUUGUGUUUCAGUGCAUGUUUUCUUGAGAGAUUAAUGUUUUUGAACGUUUUGGGGGUGAGUGCUUGUGCAAAAUAUAAAAUAACAAAAAUACCCAACUCCGAGGAAAAUUCUACACGGAAAGUUCCUGAACACAUGGCAAAAUUAAAAGCUCAAAUACAUCAAGCGAAUGAAUAACAACUUUUUUCUUAUGUAAAAAUAUAAAGAUAAAGAUUUUCGAAAGCAGCAAACUUAAUAAAUAUUUGUGAUAUGUUUAUGAUUUUCUUGCAUGAUUUUUGACAUUUUCUUUAUUUCCUUGCUAGCACAGACAAGUUGUUGUAUCUUAAUAACAAAAUUAUGAUUUAUAAUUUAAUAGAAGAAAAAAUAACUGAACAUGCAACCAUUUUUUUCAAAUUACAUUUCCGCAAUAAUGAGACAAAAUGAGUCAAAUGUAAAAAAAAAAGAUAUUGACGUCCUAAAUACAAGAAUUUUGGAACAGAUUUUAUGUUCAUGAUUAAAAUGUUUUCUUAAUACUUGAAAAACUAUUUAACAAAAUUUGAUUGAAAAGCAAAUUUAAUCUUUUAAAAAAUAGGGAAAGGAUGAAU